AGGUGCUCGCUUCUUAGAGGGACKUUCGGUGACUAACCGAAGGAAGUUGGGGGCAAUAACAGGUCUGUGAUGCCCUUAGNNGUCCUGGGCCGCACGCGCGCUACACUGAUGCAUGCAACGAGUUCUUUCUUUUCCUGGGUCGAGAGGCCCGGGUAAUCUGUUGAACGUGCAUCGUGAUAGGGAUAGAUCAUUGCAAUUAUUGAUCUUGAACGAGGAAUUCCUAGUAAACGCNNGUCAUCAGCUCGCAUUGAUUACGUCCCUGCCCUUUGUACACACCGCCCGUCGCACCUACCGAUUGAAUGUUUCGGUGAAGAUUCCG
Molecule: ribosomal RNA, 319 nt
Filed under: Carpomitra costata
Lineage: Eukaryota; Phaeophyceae; Sporochnales; Sporochnaceae
Description: nuclear SSU rRNA
Rfam family: Eukaryotic small subunit ribosomal RNA
Source: RNAcentral